GUGCGCGUGGGGCCGGUCCCGGGAGUCCAGGCUCCCGCGACUCGGCCCCGGCCGGCCGCGCUCGUGCGGGGCGCCUCCCGGUACUCUGCGAUGCUAAGGGAUAAUAAAAGAGCAUCGUAAGAUGAGUCUAUUUUAAUGUUCACGGGUUCCUUUAAAACAUACUCGGCCUCAAAAAUAGAAGUUACCUGUCAUGACGGAGCGUCGUCCACGUGAGAGAUGAGAGAUGAUGGAGCCGGAAGGAGGCAGGAGGGACCAUGGGGAUGGAGGGCACAUGACCACUUGUAAGAAAAAAAUGUCUGCACAUUUCCCAGAUGCCUUGGAGGCUUUGAGCCCUGUCAAAAUACAAAUAUGCUUAUAACGAGGAAUACCUUAAGCUUCUAUCAGUCAUUUACACCUUAUGGUGAAUAUACUCCGGAUCUACGCCUGAAGGCCUGCUUUGAUGCGGAAGAGGGGAUGAGAAGCAGGAUGUGGGUACCAGAGAGAAGAGCUCAGGCUUGCGGAUCCUCAAGCAUUUCCUAAAGGCUGGAAUCCCAGGAUUUGUCAUUGCUGUGUUACGGUUGACCUUUGGCAGAUCAAGUCUCUUUCCCACUGCUUGGUCAAGAGCUCUGGUCUUCCAAAGUUCAGCCCAAAUGUCACUCCCGUUGUGAAGUCUUCCUGAUCACGGUUCCCACACACCUAGUGCAACAGUCACCUGUGAGCUACGAAACCAACUGUGGACAUCGCUGUUUUAGCCCUUAUUAUAUUAUACUGUAAAUUUUUGUGCAUUUUUACAUCUCCACCCCUAGACUGAGUGCUCCAGGAAGGCACCCCACAUUUUUUUUUUAAUAUCCAGGGCCUAAUGUAGGACCUGGUAUUCCAUUAGUGUUUGUGGAAUGAAUGAAUGACCUCUGCAACCUGUCAGUGUGAUAAGAGGGCAACAUCACCUCCUCCCCCAGCAUGGUACCAAUGUGACUGAUAUCCCUGAGUUCCUCUGACACUUCCUGAACAGUCACGAAGUCCCUACGCAUGAGAAUGUAUCCUUAGUAAUCAAUUCAUUAUUCUAAGGAAAUUAAGCAGAAUCCUUCCCAUGUCAGGAUAUGGGCAGCAGUUUCAGAAGAUCGCCCAGUAGAACCAUAUUAUUGCAAGACAAGUGCCAGCCACUCUGCUCAUCCAGAUGCACUUCAUGGUGGUUGGUGCAGGAAAGAGAAAGUGAGACAACCUCCCUCCUGCAACAAGACAGAGCAUCAGCAUUCUCUCCUGGAGCUGGAGAACUUCCCACGGCAUGACCUCCUCAGGGUCCCUCCUUAACAAAUGGGGAGUUUUGCCUUGGGACAAUAUGAAAGAAAAGUUCCCCACUCCAUGUAACAAGAGUCAAAGACGGAGGAACAGCUAUCAUGGAUGUUUCAAUAAUUUUCAGUCGGCAGUAUCGGAGGAGAUAUCUGGAAGAACAUGGGGGAAAUAAGAUUUUCGUGGAGAGGACCAUACAUAUAACUUCUAACUAGCAUGAAAAAAGACUUUUUGGCCACUUGUAGACUUAGCAUUUUUUUAAAAGGUGCUAUAACUAAAAUAUACUGCUGCAAAAUCUUUGUCAGUAUAAUUCC
Molecule: long non-coding RNA, 1580 nt
Organism: Balaenoptera ricei (Rice's whale)
Lineage: Eukaryota; Metazoa; Chordata; Mammalia; Artiodactyla; Balaenopteridae
Exons: 6
Source: RefSeq, a predicted model, not a curated record